GAUGAAGAACGUAGCGAAAUGCGAUACUUGGUGUGAAUUGCAGAAUCCCGUGAACCAUCGAGUCUUUGAACGCAAGUUGCGCCUCAAGCCAUUAGGUUGAGGGCACGUCUGCCUGGGCGUCACAUAUCGUUGCCUGAUGCCAGUUUCCUCGUGAUGGGUGACUGUGCAGGGCGAAUGAUGGCUUCCCGUGAGCAUUGUUGCCUCAUGGUUGGUUGAAAAUUGAGUCCUUGGUAGGGAGCGCAGUGAUAGAUGGUGGUUGAGUGACGAACGAGACCCAUUCAUGUGAGACCCCUACCGAAUUUGGCCUUCAUGACCCACAUGCGUCUUUGGAACGCUCAUGACGAGACCUCAGGUCAGGCGGGGCUACCAGCUGAGUUUAAGCAUAUCAAUAAGCGGAGGA
RNAcentral lists this unclassified non-coding RNA (400 nucleotides) under soil metagenome. RNAcentral describes it as "partial contains 5.8S ribosomal RNA, internal transcribed spacer 2, and large subunit ribosomal RNA". The stretch from base 1 to 122 matches the Rfam family "5.8S ribosomal RNA", at positions 35 to 154 of the family's 154-position model. The record is from RNAcentral.